This 155-nucleotide ribosomal RNA is filed under the name Escherichia coli. Its description in RNAcentral is "partial 16S ribosomal RNA". It matches the Rfam family "Bacterial small subunit ribosomal RNA", at positions 1 to 149 of the family's 1533-position model. Lineage: Bacteria; Pseudomonadati; Pseudomonadota; Gammaproteobacteria; Enterobacterales; Enterobacteriaceae. RNAcentral also lists the same sequence under 8 other names. The record is from RNAcentral.
AAAUUGAAGAGUUUGAUCAUGGCUCAGAUUGAACGCUGGCGGCAGGCCUAACACAUGCAAGUCGAACGGUAACAGGAAGCAGCUUGCUGCUUCGCUGACGAGUGGCGGACGGGUGAGUAAUGUCUGGGAAACUGCCUGAUGGAGGGGGAUAACUA